RNAcentral lists this ribosomal RNA (254 nucleotides) under uncultured bacterium. RNAcentral describes it as "partial 16S ribosomal RNA". It matches the Rfam family "Bacterial small subunit ribosomal RNA", at positions 524 to 776 of the family's 1533-position model. The record is from RNAcentral.
UACGGGGGGAGCAAGCGUUGUUCGGAUUUACUGGGCGUAAAGGGCGCGUAGGCGGCCAGCACAAGUCAGUUGUGAAAUCUCCGAGCUUAACUCGGAAAGGUCAACUGAUACUGUGCGGCUAGAGUGCAGAAGGGGCAACUGGAAUUCUUGGUGUAGCGGUGAAAUGCGUAGAUAUCUGGAGGAAUACCGGUGGCGAAGGCGGCAUCCUGGACCGACAUUGACGCUGAUGAGCGAAAGCUAGGGGAGCAAACGGG